RNAcentral lists this ribosomal RNA (548 nucleotides) under uncultured Glomeromycotina. Its description in RNAcentral is "SSU rRNA". It matches the Rfam family "Eukaryotic small subunit ribosomal RNA", at positions 548 to 1098 of the family's 1831-position model. The record is from RNAcentral. Lineage: Eukaryota; Fungi; Glomeromycota.
UUGGAGGGCAAGUCUGGUGCCAGCAGCCGCGGUAAUUCCAGCUCCAAUAGCGUAUAUUAAAGUUGUUGCAGUUAAAAAGCUCGUAGUUGAAUUUCGGGAUCAAUAUAUCGGUCGUGCCUUGGUACGUACUGGUAUCAUUGGUUUCUCCUUUCUGACGAACCAUGAUGUCAUUAAUUUGGUGUUAUGGGAAGUUAGGACUGUUACUUUGAAAAAAUUAGAGUGUUUAAAGCAGGCUUUAGCUUGAAUACAUUAGCAUGGAAUAAUGAAAUAGGACGUUCGAACCUAUUUUGUUGGUUUCUAGGAUCAACGUAAUGAUUAAUAGGGAUAGUUGGGGGCAUUAGUAUUCAAUUGUCGGAGGUGAAAUUCUUGGAUUUAUUGAAGACUAACUACUGCGAAAGCAUUUGCCAAGGAUGUUUUCAUUAAUCAAGAACGAAAGUUAGGGGAUCGAAGACGAUCAGAUACCGUCGUAGUCUUAACCAUAAACUAUGCCGACUAGGGAUCGGAUGAUGUUAAUUUUUUAAUGACUCAUUCGGCGCCUUACGGGAAAC